RNAcentral lists this small nuclear RNA (162 nucleotides) under Chinchilla lanigera (long-tailed chinchilla). RNAcentral's name for it is "U1 spliceosomal RNA (ENSCLAG00000018643.1)". It matches the Rfam family "U1 spliceosomal RNA". Rfam says of the family: U1 is a small nuclear RNA (snRNA) component of the spliceosome (involved in pre-mRNA splicing). The record is from Rfam by way of RNAcentral. Lineage: Eukaryota; Metazoa; Chordata; Mammalia; Rodentia; Chinchillidae.
ACACUUAACUUGGUACAGAAACACAAUGAUCAUGAAGGUGGUUUUCUUGGGCGAAGCUUAUCCAUUGCAUUCCAGACAUGCUGACCCCCUGGAUUUCUCCAAAUGUGAGAAAUUCCACUGUAUAAUUUCUGGUGUAAGAGACUGUAUUCAUGCUUCCCCUGA